This is a long non-coding RNA of Eurytemora carolleeae, 155 nucleotides long. RefSeq lists it as uncharacterized. Lineage: Eukaryota; Metazoa; Arthropoda; Copepoda; Calanoida; Temoridae. The transcript has 3 exons. The record is from RefSeq and is a predicted model, not a curated record.
AGAAAAAGAUGGAGACCAAGCCUCAGAAAAGACAAAAACCAGUCCGUGGAAAAGCAAAAGAUAGCGAUGAAUUGGAUGAGAAGGAGUUGGAUAUUAAGCUUGAUAUCACCAAGAAAAGCAGAAAAAUAAAUCGCCCAACAUGCUUCGCAGAUCAA